This 159-nucleotide ribosomal RNA is filed under the name uncultured eukaryote. Its description in RNAcentral is "partial 18S ribosomal RNA". It matches the Rfam family "Eukaryotic small subunit ribosomal RNA", at positions 1299 to 1458 of the family's 1831-position model. The record is from RNAcentral.
ACGUGAACUAAUUCGUCUGGUUAAUUCCGAUAACGCACGAGACCUUAGCCGAUAGUUAAAUGGACUUCAUGAAAGGACCUCGCUCCUGUUUUCAGGAGAUACUAUCGGGACCGCUCGCGAUCUACAUGGCGAAGCGGGAGGAAGGCUAAGGCUAUAACA